This 360-nucleotide ribosomal RNA is filed under the name uncultured soil bacterium. RNAcentral's name for it is "bacterial SSU rRNA". It matches the Rfam family "Bacterial small subunit ribosomal RNA", at positions 26 to 386 of the family's 1533-position model. The record is from RNAcentral.
AGAUUGAACGCUGGCGGCAUGCCCUACACAUGCAAGUCGAACGGCAGCACGGGAGCAAUCCUGGUGGCGAGUGGCGAACGGGUGAGUAAUACAUCGGAACGUGCCCAAUCGUGGGGGAUAACGCAGCGAAAGCUGUGCUAAUACCGCAUAAGAUCUACGGAUGAAAGCAGGGGAUCGCAAGACCUUGCGCGAAUGGAGCGGCCGAUGGCAGAUUAGGUAGUUGGUGAGGUAAAGGCUCACCAAGCCUUCGAUCUGUAGCUGGUCUGAGAGGACGACCAGCCACACGUGGGACUAGAGACACGGCCAGACUCGUACGGGAGCAGCAGUGGGAAUUUUGGACAAGUGGGACGAAAGCCUAGA